RNAcentral lists this ribosomal RNA (497 nucleotides) under uncultured bacterium. Its description in RNAcentral is "partial 16S ribosomal RNA". It matches the Rfam family "Bacterial small subunit ribosomal RNA", at positions 28 to 507 of the family's 1533-position model. The record is from RNAcentral.
GAUGAACGCUGGCGGCGUGCCUAAUACAUGCAAGUCGAGCGAACAGAUGAGGAGCUUGCUCCUCUGACGUUAGCGGCGGACGGGUGAGUAACACGUGGAUAACCUACCUAUAAGACUGGGAUAACUUCGGGAAACCGGAGCUAAUACCGGAUAAUAUAUUGAACCGCAUGGUUCAAUAGUGAAAGACGGUUUUGCUGUCACUUAUAGAUGGAUCCGCGCCGCAUUAGCUAGUUGGUAAGGUAACGGCUUACCAAGGCAACGAUGCGUAGCCGACCUGACAGGGUGAUCGGCCACACUGGAAGUGAGACACGGUCCAGACUCCUACGGGAGGCAGCAGUAGGGAAUCUUCCGCAAUGGGCGAAAGCCUGACGGAGCAGCGCCGCGUGAGUGAUGAAGGUCUUCGGAUCGUAAAACUCUGUUAUUGGGGAAGAACAAAUGUGUAAGUAACUAUGCACGUCUUGACGGUACCUAAUCAGAAAGCCACGGCUAACUACGUG